GAUUAACGCUGGCGGCAUGCCUAAUACAUGCAAGUUGAACGGGGAAGUAGCAAUACUUCUAGUAGCGAACGGGUGAGUAAUACAUGAGUAACCUGCCUCUUUGAUGGGGAUAACUGAUCGAAAGAUUAGCUAAUAACCGAAUAAACUGAUUGAUAUGCAUAUAUUAAUGAGGAAAGAUAAGAUCGCAAAGAGAUGGGCUCAUGGCGCAUUAGCUAGUUGAUGAGAUAACGGCCCACCAAGGCAACGAUGCGUAGCCGACCUGAGAGGGUGAACGGCCACACUGGAACUGAGACACGGUCCAG
Molecule: ribosomal RNA, 302 nt
Filed under: uncultured bacterium
Lineage: Bacteria
Description: bacterial SSU rRNA
Rfam family: Bacterial small subunit ribosomal RNA
Source: RNAcentral